UCAACCAUCAAAGCUUGAUUUUUGAUCGAGAAUCCCUAAAUUUUUAUUGGGACAAACCGAUCUUAUUUUCUCUAUUUUUCGUUGAGUUUCUUUGAGUUAUCAGUGCUGUUUGCCAUUGUUGAUCACCAGUGGGAUGCGCCUGUGGUGUCGAUGCCAUGGCCUCAACCGUCGUCAACCAAAGCCACAGUCGAUGGUGGGUUCACUGUAC
This 208-nucleotide long non-coding RNA is filed under the name Elaeis guineensis (African oil palm). RNAcentral's name for it is "long non-coding RNA (EGUI_LNC039421)". Lineage: Eukaryota; Viridiplantae; Streptophyta; Magnoliopsida; Arecales; Arecaceae. The record is from RNAcentral.